CGGAAGAUCCAAGCGUUAUCCGGAAUUACUGGGCGUAAAGAGUUGCGUAGGUGGCAUAGUAAGUAGAUAGUGAAAUCCUGGGGCUCAACCCUUUAAACAUUGUCUAAACUGCUAAGCUAGAGGGCGAGAGAGGUUACUAGAAUUUCUUGUGUAGGAGUGAAAUCCGUAGAUAUAAGAAGGAAUACCGAUGGCGUAGGCAGGUAACUGGCUCGUCCCUGACACUAAGGCACGAAAGCGUGGGGAGCGACCGGGAUU
This 255-nucleotide ribosomal RNA is filed under the name uncultured bacterium. Its description in RNAcentral is "partial 16S ribosomal RNA". It matches the Rfam family "Bacterial small subunit ribosomal RNA", at positions 526 to 779 of the family's 1533-position model. The record is from RNAcentral.